RNAcentral lists this ribosomal RNA (501 nucleotides) under uncultured Clostridia bacterium. RNAcentral describes it as "bacterial SSU rRNA". It matches the Rfam family "Bacterial small subunit ribosomal RNA", at positions 381 to 901 of the family's 1533-position model. The record is from RNAcentral. Lineage: Bacteria; Bacillati; Bacillota; Clostridia.
AGCUGAUGAGCACGCCGCGUGAGUGAUGAAGGCCUUCGGGUUGUAAACUCUGUCUUUGGGGACGAUAAUGACGGUACCCAAGGAGGAAGCCACGGCUAACUACGUGCCAGCAGCCGCGGUAAUACGUAGGUGGCAAGCGUUGUCCGGAUUUACUGGGCGUAAAGGAUGCGUAGGUGGAUAUUUAAGUCAGAUGUGAAAUACCCGAGCUCAACUUGGGUGCUGCAUUUGAAACUGGAUAUCUAGAGUGCAGGAGAGGUAAGUGGAAUUCCUAGUGUAGCGGUGAAAUGCGUAGAGAUUAGGAAGAACACCAGUGGCGAAGGCGACUUACUGGACUGUAACUGACACUGAGGCAUGAAAGCGUGGGGAGCAAACAGGAUUAGAUACCCUGGUAGUCCACGCCGUAAACGAUGAGUACUAGGUGUAGGAGGUAUCGACUCCUUCUGUGCCGCAGUUAACACAAUAAGUACUCCGCCUGGGAAGUACGGUCGCAAGAUUAAAACU